Long non-coding RNA from Lemur catta (Ring-tailed lemur), 1611 nucleotides. RefSeq lists it as uncharacterized. The record is from RefSeq and is a predicted model, not a curated record. Lineage: Eukaryota; Metazoa; Chordata; Mammalia; Primates; Lemuridae. The transcript is spliced from 3 exons.
GCUGCCCGCAGUGGGUAAGGGGGCUAUUGGCGAAGGCGACGGAAGGGCGCGCAGUCGGCGGCUGCAGCCAGGAAAACGCGCAAAUCCCGUUCCGGGAACACCCGACCCGCCCAGGGACUGCACGCAGAGUGGAGCCUCUUCUUCCCCGGGCGGUCUGCCUUCUCCGCCCCUCUGCCCCACCGCCACCCAGCUUCCGUCCCUGCGCCCCCCGCGCUCCUCAACCCCUCCGGGACGCUAGGAUGCGGGCGCCGCCCUUUGGCCACGAAGACGCGAGGUCGCUUAGUGGGACUGUGGCUUAACUGCCGCGCAGGUUGGCUUCCUCCACGCAGCCUGCCUCUCCUGACUCUCGGGAAAGGUGGGCCACCCGCUACCGCCUGCGGCGCCUGCGCGCCACUGAGCCACCCAUCCAGGAUAUGGAGUCAGUGGCUCCGGACCGCGGCCUCCAGGCGCAGUUUGGGACCCGCGUGACAGUGCAAAUCCACCUACGAGGUCCGGAGCGGCAACGUCUUUGCUGCCGUUCACCCCUCAGGUGAACUCUCGAAUGGCACUUGACUGCUGCUGCCACUGUCUGCAGUCACCUUCUCUCUGGUUCCCAAACCUGAAGGAGAGAUGCCCUGAAAGUCGGCCGACCUCUCCCAUCCUCUUCAGCCCGAAAGCCGGGCUGGAAAGAAGCCAGUUCCGCACGGGAAGUCGCUCUUCCCCUCGGCUCCGCCUGGAAGCUGCUUCUCCAACACAAGCCCCUCCCGGGCUUCCCGUUAGAUGCUGGAAUGGAUGCGGCCCCUGCUGACUGCUCUGGAGCACCAGCCCUUUGCUAGCAAGGACUGAAGUUCUGCUGAACUGCAGUGACCCUGCCCCAUGGAUAGACAAAAGACUUCAAGAAACUGUGCCAAUAUGGAAGAAAUAAAGGACAUGUCUGAUGAAUAGGCAACUAAAACGUUUUGAAAGCACACAAAUGGUGUAAAUACAAAAUUCCACAUGCUGAAAACAACGUGGGGAAGGGCAGGAAUGACUUACACCCUUUGUGUUAUGCAAAGGCACAAAGACACAAACAGAUGACAAAGGACACCACGAGACAGGAUGUGCUUAAGGUAAGAUCACAAUGAGGAAGGACACUUUGUGGACAACUGUAAGGAAAUCUUAGACUAUAUAAUGCCCAGCACAAGAUUAAGCAACAGUGAGCACAUGUUAGUCUCACAAGGAAUGUGCAGUUUUUCUUACAUAGACUCGAAGUUACCUCCUUCACUGCCUAUUGGAGGGAACAGCAUAUUGGGGUGCCCAGAGGUUGACAUGGACAUCAACAUCCAAUGUCUCAGCCUACAGGUAGAAGAUGUGGUAUAAACUGAGGCAGGGCUAGCUGCAUUUCUUUAGGCUGGGAGGGGUUUGGGUUCAGACAGAGGCAGAAACAACAGUUUGAUGGAGCUGUGACCACAGAGCAACCUGCUGUGAAACGCACGUACCUACCUCCCCAAACCAUCCCAUGUUUUUCAAAGAAUAAAAUUCUCCUAAACUUGUUUUGCAGAUUCGUGAGCAAUUGCUAACCAGUAGCUGCUUUUUCCCAAACAGUCAUCUUAAAAGUUUAUUACCUGGAACAAAAGAAAAUAGCAGCUGAGA